UUAGAGAAGGGCAGAGGAUAAACGAGAAUUGCCUGAGAAAAGUGUGCCAAGUGGACCAAUGGAAUGGUGCCAACAAAGCAACCAGGCCAAUGAGAAAUAGACAUGGCAGAUUGACCCAGUUGGCAUUUAGCGUAUGUUAGGAGUAUAAGGUGGAGAAAUUAUUUCCCAUUAAUAAGCAGUGGCGCACAGUAGCAAUGAAAGGGGGCAAGCGA
Molecule: long non-coding RNA, 212 nt
Filed under: Jatropha curcas
Lineage: Eukaryota; Viridiplantae; Streptophyta; Magnoliopsida; Malpighiales; Euphorbiaceae
Description: long non-coding RNA (JCUR_LNC002122)
Source: RNAcentral